Molecule: ribosomal RNA, 254 nt
Filed under: uncultured bacterium
Lineage: Bacteria
Description: partial 16S ribosomal RNA
Rfam family: Bacterial small subunit ribosomal RNA
Source: RNAcentral
UGCGGGGGGAGCAAGCGUUGUUCGGAUUUACUGGGCGUAAAGGGCGGGUAGGCGGCCACCGCAAGUCAGUUGUGAAAUCUCUGGGCUUAACCCAGAAAGGUCAACUGAUACUGCGGGGCUAGAGUGCAGAAGGGGCAACUGGAAUUCUCGGUGUAGCGGUGAAAUGCGUAGAUAUCGAGAGGAACACCUGCGGCGAAGGCGGGUUGCUGGGCUGACACUGACGCUGAACUGCGAAAGCUAGGGGAGCGAACGGG